CAGUAGGGAAUCUUCCACAAUGGACGAAAGUCUGAUGGAGCAACGCCGCGUGAGUGAAGAAGGAUUUCGGUUCGUAAAACUCUGUUGUAAGGGAAGAACAAGUACAGUAGUAACUGGCUGUACCUUGACGGUACCUUAUUAGAAAGCCACGGCUAACUACGUG
Molecule: ribosomal RNA, 163 nt
Filed under: uncultured bacterium
Lineage: Bacteria
Description: partial 16S ribosomal RNA
Rfam family: Bacterial small subunit ribosomal RNA
Source: RNAcentral